UACGUAGGGUGCGAGCGUUGUCCGGAAUUAUUGGGCGUAAAGAGCUCGUAGGCGGUUUGUCGCGUCGGCCGUGAAAUCUCCACGCUUAACGUGGAGCGUGCAGCCGAUACGGGCAGGCUAGAGUUCGGUAGGGGAGACUGGAAUUCCUGGUGUAGCGGUGAAAUGCGCAGAUAUCAGGAGGAACACCGGUGGCGAAGGCGGGUCUCUGGGCCGAUACUGACGCUGAGGAGCGAAAGCGUGGGGAGCGAACAGG
This 253-nucleotide ribosomal RNA is filed under the name uncultured bacterium. RNAcentral describes it as "partial 16S ribosomal RNA". It matches the Rfam family "Bacterial small subunit ribosomal RNA", at positions 524 to 776 of the family's 1533-position model. The record is from RNAcentral.